Molecule: ribosomal RNA, 232 nt
Filed under: uncultured bacterium
Lineage: Bacteria
Description: partial 16S ribosomal RNA
Rfam family: Bacterial small subunit ribosomal RNA
Source: RNAcentral
CGGACGGGUGAGUAAUGUCUGGGAAACUGCCUGAUGGAGGGGGAUAACUACUGGAAACGGUAGCUAAUACCGCAUAACGUCGCAAGACCAAAGAGGGGGACCUUCGGGCCUCUUGCCAUCGGAUGUGCCCAGAUGGGAUUAGCUAGUAGGUGGGGUAAAGGCUCACCUAGGCGGCGAUCCCUAGCUGGUCUGAGAGGAUGACCAGCCACACUGGAACUGAGACACGGUCCAG